RNAcentral lists this small RNA (24 nucleotides) under Arabidopsis thaliana (thale cress). RNAcentral describes it as "ATSL114630". Lineage: Eukaryota; Viridiplantae; Streptophyta; Magnoliopsida; Brassicales; Brassicaceae. The record is from RNAcentral.
ACGUUUCUUCUUCUUCUUCCUUUA